GGUCCGAGUUUGCGUGUGACGUCACGGCACGCGUGGGCCGCCGCAGCUCGCGGAUCGGCUACAAGUUCUCGGUGUGCUCGGGCCGCUGCCCACUCCCACUGUGUCCCCUCAUCUAUAGCAGUGCGCGCUGACCAUCCUUUAUGCUGGAUAUUCUACUCCAUUCUUCUUUCUUGGGUGAUAUGGGGGAUCAUUCAAAAAAGAAGUCCGGGAUCGCCAUGUGUGUGGGCUGCGGAAGUCAGAUCCAUGACCAGUAUAUCCUGCGGGUCUCCCCGGACCUGGAGUGGCACGCGGCGUGUCUGAAGUGCGCAGAGUGCAGUCAGUACCUGGAUGAGACGUGUACUUGCUUCGUCCGGGACGGCAAGACCUACUGCAAAAGAGACUACGUAAGGUUAUUCGGUAUUAAAUGUGCAAAAUGCAACGUGGGCUUCUGCAGCAGUGACUUGGUAAUGCGUGCUCGGGAGAACGUUUACCACAUGGAGUGUUUCAGGUGCUCGGUGUGCAGCAGACACCUCCUGCCGGGAGAUGAGUUCUCUCUGCGGGAAGAGGAGCUGCUGUGCCGGACUGAUCACGGGCUGCUGCUGGAGCGCGCCGCGUCGGGGAGUCCACCUAUCAGCCCGGGCAACACACACUCCACCAGAGCUCUGCACAUGGCCGAGCCGGUACCUGUGCGGCAGCCCCCACACCGCAACCACGUCCACAAGCAGUCGGAGAAGACGACCCGUGUGCGCACUGUGCUCAACGAGAAGCAGCUGCACACACUGCGCACAUGCUACAACGCCAACCCGCGGCCCGACGCGCUCAUGAAGGAGCAGCUGGUGGAGAUGACGGGCCUCAGUCCGCGAGUUAUCCGCGUCUGGUUCCAGAACAAACGCUGCAAGGACAAGAAGAGGUCCAUGCUCAUGAAGCAACUCCAGCAGCAACAGCACAGCGACAAAACCAAUCUCCAGGGUCUAACAGGGACACCUCUAGUGGCAGGUAGUCCCAUCCGGCAUGACAACACGGUGCAGGGGAAUCCUGUAGAAGUGCAGACUUACCAGCCUCCAUGGAAAGCGCUGAGCGAGUUCGCGCUACAGAGCGACCUGGAGCAGCCCGCCUUCCAGCAGCUGGUGUCCUUCUCUGAGUCGGGUUCUCUGGGCACCUCCUCGGGCAGUGAUGUGACUUCGCUGUCAUCGCAGUUACCCGACACCCCCAACAGCAUGGUGUCCAGUCCUGUGGAAACGUGAUGGAGUCCAGUGACCUCUGUCCACCCCAGCAUGCUGAACCCCACCCCGAUCUGCAUGAACACAGAGCACCUCACCAUCUCCACCUGAGGAACACGACGGAACCACGGAAAACAACAUACAGCAACACAGUGGAUUAAAACUCGGAACGCACAAGUGUGUCAAAAAAACAAAAACAAAACAAAACAAAAAAAAACAAAAAACAAAAAAAAACCAACCACACGGAGCCAAGAAGCAGGGACUCUCCACACGCGUUUACUUCAGCCCUAAAGGCAGGAACCCACACGGAUCCGAUAUCUUCCCGAGGAAUAUGAACAAGUUGACCCACUGUCAACAACAUAACAAAUAACAAUAAUGUCUUUACCAGUAUUCCUUACGUAGUUUUAUCAACACCUGAUGACAUUUCCCUAAUUCAAUGAGACAACAGAGCCACGUUUGUCUUAAUGCGCAUGAUCUCCGAAGACAAUGUAUAAAAGUCACAUGUAAACUAUUUUAUCUUUACGGAUGGAGGACAAAUUGUUUGAACUUCUCGAGAGAACAAAAAUAAAACUGUGGACUUCUAUCCAAUCAACCAGAAAGUGUAGAAAUACUGGGAUCGUCCCAUCUGCCAGAGAAAUACAAGCACUACUGGGAGAGUACCUGGAAGGCAGUGAGGUCGAGCAGGGCAAAGCUGUUGAGGAAGCGCAGACCCUGAAGUGCCACCUGGACCACAGCAGGACUGUAGGGCUCCUGGAAUGACGCCAUGUUGCCAGACUGGGGC
Ictalurus punctatus (channel catfish) is the source of this 1980-nucleotide RNA transcript. It is a transcript of the gene named ISL LIM homeobox 2a, with no coding region annotated. The transcript is spliced from 8 exons. The record is from RefSeq and is a predicted model, not a curated record. NCBI's taxonomy places the organism in Eukaryota, Metazoa, Chordata, Actinopteri, Siluriformes, Ictaluridae.